This 496-nucleotide ribosomal RNA is filed under the name uncultured bacterium. RNAcentral describes it as "partial 16S ribosomal RNA". It matches the Rfam family "Bacterial small subunit ribosomal RNA", at positions 28 to 507 of the family's 1533-position model. The record is from RNAcentral.
GAUGAACGCUGGCGGCGUGCCUAAUACAUGCAAGUCGAGCGAACAGACGAGAGCUUGCUCCUCUGACGUUAGCGGCGGACGGGUGAGUAACACGUGGAUAACCUACCUAUAAGACUGGGAUAACUUCGGGAAACCGGAGCUAAUACCGGAUAAUAUAUUGAACCGCAUGGUUCAAUAGUGAAAGACGGUUUUGCUGUCACUUAUAGAUGGAUCCGCGCCGCAUUAGCUAGUUGGUAAGGUAACGGCUUACCAAGGCGACGAUGCGUAGCCGACCUGAGAGGGUGAUCGGCCACACUGGAACUGAGACACGGUCCAGACUCCUACGGGAGGCAGCAGUAGGGAAUCUUCCGCAAUGGGCGAAAGCUUGACGGAGCAACGCCGCGUGAGUGAUGAAGGUCUUCGGAUCGUAAAACUCUGUUAUUAGGGAAGAACAAAUGUGUAAGUAACUAUGCACGUCUUGACGGUACCUAAUCAGAAAGCCACGGCUAACUACGUG